CCAAACAAGGCUUUGUUUCUGGUCCACUCUAUAAAGCCUCGAGCUCAACGCUAUUUCUGACAUUUCGAAUUGAGAGGAUAAGAAGCAAAACGUCUUCAAACUUGGAAACAAAGUCCAGUGGAUUGAGAAUCUUCACCAGCAUAAGAUACUCUGAAACGAAAACUGGAAAACAUGGAAGAACAGAGGCCCAGGCGGUUUCAUCAAGAUGGUUCCAAACGGGCAAGAAAAAGACAACGAGAUCGACAAUUACGUGACAACCAAGAAACUCUGUAUGCCACUCUCAUUGGAGAUAAGGAAGACAAAUUUAUGUUUUAUACCAAAGAUGUAGGAGCAUGGCGCAAAAGACUAAAUGCAGCUUAUGGAGAUCCAAGUUCUACUACAGAAGUCUGUGUUACAUGGCAGACAAAAGAAGGUACCAUUCAAUUAUUCCGAACUGGGACAUGUCUCAUACAGGGCACAGCGGAAAGAAGAGAAAGAUUUUGGAGAAGGUUUAGAGUGAUUUUGAACGGAGAAGCUGUUGAUCCACAAUAAAAAGCAACGACUGCUUCAAGAAUCAGAAAUCAGCUCCAGCGAGUCAUCUGAUAGAAACCAAAACUGAUCAACCUCAUGAUCAAUGCAGAAAAAAAAUGUCUUUAAAAAUAAACUUCAGAAGAGAGAGUUUCUUUUCCUUCCUAUGAAUUUUGACCAGGGAUCAUGUUUAACUCACUCAGAAGGUGGUAGUUUGAGUCCCUCUCGUACUUGAACGUCAGCCUUCCAUAACUGACAUGGUUUAGAUUUUUCAGCCAUUCGAAAUAGGAAACAGUCACACCACCAGCGUUCAGGUACAUGUCCUGAAAAAGAGGAAAAACCUCAGGUUAUCUAGAGCUCCCCUUCUGCUUGUGAACAAAAUGUCUUCUUCAAACCUAAACUGUACUUUUUCAUUUCUUUCUAAUAAAGAUUGUUCUUUAAAAUG
Cyprinodon tularosa is the source of this 952-nucleotide long non-coding RNA. RefSeq lists it as uncharacterized. NCBI's taxonomy places the organism in Eukaryota, Metazoa, Chordata, Actinopteri, Cyprinodontiformes, Cyprinodontidae. The record is from RefSeq and is a predicted model, not a curated record. The transcript is spliced from 2 exons.